UUUUGGAUCAAGUCCAAUAGAACGACUGUGGAGAGACUCCGACGAACAGCGAGAGCAGCAGAAGGCAGAAAUGGCGAGGCUCUCCCAACGCAUCCUCUCUUCGUUGUUUCUUCUCCUACUCCUUUUCAUCUAUUCUUCGCUUCCCUAUUUCGUCGCUUCCUCGAAGAAGCCACCUCCGGCUGCUCGUAAGGGAGACAUCCCUUUUAUCCGGUGCCAGGUCUGUGAGAAGAUCGCCCACCAGAUCAUUCACCAGGUCAAGAAGAAGGAGGCUCAGAUCUCGCCCAAAAAGGUUUCAGAAUUUCAGAUCAUCGAGAUAGCCGAGAAUAUCUGCAAUUUGAAGAAGGAGGAGGCGGAUUGGAUUCUCCAGAUUGACGUUGUUGAGAAAGGUGAUAAAUUGGAGCUGGUUGAACAAGGCAUCGAAGGACAAUGUAAUUCAGAAUGUAAAACCAUUGAACAUGCUUGUCAAGAGAUCAUGGGUUACUCAGAUACUGAUGUUGCAGAAUAUGUUUUUAGUGCAAGACCUUCAAUUGAUCAGUUGGUUAAGUUUCUCUGCAAGGAUCUUUCUAAAGCAUGCUCUGUCAAGCCACCACCUAUUCCUGCGGAUAGGGUUCCUGGAGAACCUUUUAUUGCCAAGUCCUCUAAAGAUGCUGAAAUGGAAAAGAUCUUGAGAUCUAUGGAGGGUAUGCCAGGGGCACCAGGAAUGAAAAUGUAUUCGCGAGAAGAUCUAAUGAGCGGCAAAUUUGGUGAAGCUGAUGAUGAUGACGACGACGAUGAUGAUGAAGACAAUUUUUCUGAGAAAUUGGGAAAUAUUCUAAAUGACGGGAACUGGGACAGUGAUAAAGGAGAACAUAAACAAAGUAUCGGAACAGAUAAAGAACUGGUGGACAGGAAAGACAAAGGGUUCAAGUCACCCAAAAGCAAAGAAAACCGAUCUGUAGUACCCAAUAACAAUGGUUCCAAGUGGAAAUACAGUGGUUGACAGACUGCUCUUAUUGCUGAUGGAGGUACCUGUGCUAAAAUUUAAACUUAGUGGUUACUUGUUAGGUUUCAAUUCUUUUAGCAGAUAGAGAUGGAGACUGACCUUCUGUGCUAUGUUCCUGACAACCAUAAUCUCGAAGUUGGAAAUCUGCAUCAAUCCACAUUGCUCGGCACUAUGGGCAACUUUUCUGCUGUUUAUGCUAGUAGAUACUCUCUGGUCUUA
Musa acuminata subsp. malaccensis (wild Malaysian banana) is the source of this 1201-nucleotide non-coding RNA. Lineage: Eukaryota; Viridiplantae; Streptophyta; Magnoliopsida; Zingiberales; Musaceae. The record is from RefSeq and is a predicted model, not a curated record.